UGAGGAAUAUUGCGCAAUGGGGGAAACCCUGACGCAGCGACGCCGCGUGGGCGACGAAGGCCUUCGGGUCGUAAAGCCCUUUUAGCAGGGACGAGUGAGGACGGUACCUGCUGAAUAAGUCUCGGCUAACUACGUGCCAGCAGCCGCGGUAAAACGUAGGAGGCGAGCGUUAUCCGGAUUCACUGGGCGUAAAGCGCGCGUAGGCGGUUGGUUAAGUCGGACGUGAAAGCCCCUGGCUCAACUGGGGGAGGCCGUUCGAUACUGGCCGGCUUGAGGGUGAGAGAGGGAAGUGGAAUUCCCGGUGUAGCGGUGGAAUGCGUAGAGAUCGGGAGGAACACCAGUGGCGAAGGCGGCUUCCUGGCUCACUUCUGACGCUGAGAGCGCGAAAGCGUGGGGAGCAAACGGGAUUAGAUACCCCGGUAGUCCACGCUCUAAACGAUGAGGGCUAGGUGUUGGUGGGAUUACCCGAUCUGUGCCGAAGCAAACGCGUUAAGCCCUCCGCCUGGGGACUACGAACGCAAG
This 522-nucleotide ribosomal RNA is filed under the name uncultured bacterium. RNAcentral's name for it is "bacterial SSU rRNA". It matches the Rfam family "Bacterial small subunit ribosomal RNA", at positions 355 to 892 of the family's 1533-position model. The record is from RNAcentral.